This 602-nucleotide ribosomal RNA is filed under the name uncultured Microbacteriaceae bacterium. RNAcentral describes it as "partial 16S ribosomal RNA". It matches the Rfam family "Bacterial small subunit ribosomal RNA", at positions 338 to 974 of the family's 1533-position model. The record is from RNAcentral. Lineage: Bacteria; Bacillati; Actinomycetota; Actinomycetes; Micrococcales; Microbacteriaceae.
CCUACGGGAGGCAGCAGSYCGACSUHGCAUKCWMCCSGMCKCCAUGKCGGSSCGSGGKAAUUYRAUUCUACGGUGAAGAGCAGCAGUGGGGAAUAUUGCACAAUGGGCGCAAGCCUGACCGGCUAACUACGUGCCAGCAGCCGCGGUAAUACGUAGGGUGCAAGCGUUGUCCGGAAUUAUUGGGCGUAAAGAGCUCGUAGGCGGUUUGUCGCGUCUGCUGUGAAAUCUGGGGGCUCAACCCCCAGCCUGCAGUGGGUACGGGCAGACUAGAGUGCGGUAGGGGAGAUUGGAAUUCCUGGUGUAGCGGUGGAAUGCGCAGAUAUCAGGAGGAACACCGAUGGCGAAGGCAGAUCUCUGGGCCGUAACUGACGCUGAGGAGCGAAAGCAUGGGGAGCGAACAGGAUUAGAUACCCUGGUAGUCCAUGCCGUAAACGUUGGGAACUAGAUGUGGGGGCCAUUCCACGGUCUCCGUGUCGCAGCUAACGCAUUAAGUUCCCCGCCUGGGGAGUACGGCCGCAAGGCUAAAACUCAAAGGAAUUGACGGGGGCCCGCACAAGCGGCGGAGCAUGCGGAUUAAUUCGAUGCAACGCGAAGAACCUUAC